GGUCGCUUAGCUCAGCCGGGAGAGCACCUCCCUUACAAGGAGGGGGUCACUGUUUCGAUCCCAGUAGCGACCA
RNAcentral lists this transfer RNA (73 nucleotides) under Shewanella xiamenensis. Its description in RNAcentral is "tRNA-Val". It matches the Rfam family "tRNA". From Rfam's summary of the family: Transfer RNA (tRNA) molecules are approximately 80 nucleotides in length. Their secondary structure includes four short double-helical elements and three loops (D, anti-codon, and T loops). RNAcentral also lists the same sequence under 1 other name. Lineage: Bacteria; Pseudomonadati; Pseudomonadota; Gammaproteobacteria; Alteromonadales; Shewanellaceae. The record is from RNAcentral.